This 227-nucleotide ribosomal RNA is filed under the name uncultured bacterium. RNAcentral describes it as "partial 16S ribosomal RNA". It matches the Rfam family "Bacterial small subunit ribosomal RNA", at positions 1274 to 1500 of the family's 1533-position model. The record is from RNAcentral.
UAAAAAACUAGGUCUCAGUUCAGAUUGCAGGCUGCAACCCGCCUGCAUGAAGUCGGAAUUGCUAGUAAUCGCGGAUCAGCAUGCCGCGGUGAAUACGUUCCCGGGCCUUGUACACACCGCCCGUCACACCAUGGGGAGCCGGUAAUACCCGAAGUCAGUAGUCCAACCUCGUGAGGACGCUGCCGAAGGUAGGAUUGGCGACUGGGGUGAAGUCGUAACAAGGUAUC